This 403-nucleotide ribosomal RNA is filed under the name Fusobacteriota bacterium. RNAcentral describes it as "Fusobacteria bacterium partial 16S ribosomal RNA". It matches the Rfam family "Bacterial small subunit ribosomal RNA", at positions 355 to 776 of the family's 1533-position model. The record is from RNAcentral. Lineage: Bacteria; Fusobacteriati; Fusobacteriota.
UGGGGAAUAUUGCACAAUGGGGGAAACCCUGAUGCAGCGACGCCGCGUGAGCGAAGAAUGUUUUCGAAUCGUAAAGCUCUGUCCUAUGGGAAGAUAAUGCCGGUACCAUAGUAGGAAGCCCCGGCUAACUACGUGCCAGCAGCCGCGGUAAUACGUAGGGGGCAAGCGUUCUCCGGAAUCACUGGGCGUAAAGGGUUCGCAGGCGGAAAUGCAAGUCAGUUGUGAAAGGCAGAGUCUCAACCGCUGUAAGCAAUUGAAACUGUAUUUCUUGAGAUGUGGAGAGGCAAGUGGAAUUCCUAGUGUAGCGGUGAAAUGCGUAGAUAUUAGGAAGAAUAACGGUGGCGAAGGCGACUUGCUGGACACAAACUGACGCUGAGGAACGAAAGCGUGGGUAGCAAACAGG